AAACUGGGUUUUAACCAUACAGAGAAAAGACUUAAGCAUGCAGAAAACAAUACUUUUAGACCCCAAUAAAUGUGUCCAGGUUGCUCUAGAAAAGUCAUCAACUAUUGUUAGAAAGUAUCUAGAGCCAGAAGAAGUGGGAGUGUGAUAAGGACCCCAAGUAUCUACAUGAAUCAAUUGGAAAGGUCUAGAUGUACUCGUUGUGCUAUCAGGAAAGGGAAGUCUAGUUUGUCUAGCCAUAGUACAAAUAGAACAAUGGAAAGGCUGUUUAGAAGCAAAUGGAAAAGAUAAGGCAGAAAUGUGUUUGCUCUAGAAAAGUCAUCAACUAUUGUUAGAAAGUAUCUAGAGCUAGAAGAAGUGGGAGUGUGAUAAGGACCCCAAGUAUAUACAUGAAUCAAUUGGAAAGGUCUAGAUGUACUUGUUGUGCUACCAGGAAAGGGAAGUCUAGUUUGUCUAGCCAUAGGACAAAUAGAACAAG
RNAcentral lists this long non-coding RNA (475 nucleotides) under Nicotiana benthamiana. RNAcentral describes it as "long non-coding RNA (NBEN_LNC015825)". Lineage: Eukaryota; Viridiplantae; Streptophyta; Magnoliopsida; Solanales; Solanaceae. The record is from RNAcentral.